UAUGAGAAAAUCAUCAAGACCAGUUUAAGGGACUGUGUUCACCAUUCCCCUGCAAUACAAUAAAACACCCUCCUGCUUCUUUCCAUAUGCCAUUUAGUGUUCAAAAUAGAUCAACUGACUUUCCUUUACAAACUAAAUCAGACUGUAAGCUUUGUAUUUCUCUUUCAUUCAUCGUGUGCUUUUGAGGCCUCCUCAUGUUCUUGUUAAUAAUUCAGCCUUGGCCUAUUCCAGGUUUAUUGCUCAGAGAGACAGUACCUUUUGCUGAGUUGAGCAUAUGGCUAACAGGAGCUAUGUCAGAUGAGAACACAGAAAGUUCUGAAGCAAACUGGAUUAGGUCCAUUUUCUCCUAA
This 350-nucleotide long non-coding RNA is filed under the name Ficedula albicollis (Collared flycatcher). RNAcentral's name for it is "lncRNA (ENSFALG00000023134.1)". The record is from RNAcentral. Lineage: Eukaryota; Metazoa; Chordata; Aves; Passeriformes; Muscicapidae.